Molecule: ribosomal RNA, 769 nt
Filed under: uncultured bacterium
Lineage: Bacteria
Description: bacterial SSU rRNA
Rfam family: Bacterial small subunit ribosomal RNA
Source: RNAcentral
GGCGGCGUGCCUAACACAUGCAAGUCGAGCGAAGCGGUUUUGAGGAAGUUUUCGGACGGAAUCAUAACUGACUGAGCGGCGGACGGGUGAGUAACGCGUGGGUAACCUGCCUCAUACGGGGGGAUAACAGUUAGAAAUGGCUGCUAAUACCGCAUAAGCACACAGCUUCGCAUGGAGCAGUGUGAAAAACUCCGGUGGUAUGAGAUGGACCCGCGUCUGAUUAGCUAGUUGGUAAGGUAACGGCUUACCAAGGCGACGAUCAGUAGCCGACCUGAGAGGGUGACCGGCCACAUUGGGACUGAGACACGGCCCAAACUCCUACGGGAGGCAGCAGUGGGGAAUAUUGCACAAUGGGGGAAACCCUGAUGCAGCGACGCCGCGUGAGUGAAGAAGUAUCUCGGUAUGUAAAGCUCUAUCAGCAGGGAAGAAAAUGACGGUACCUGACUAAGAAGCCCCGGCUAACUACGUGCCAGCAGCCGCGGUAAUACGUAGGGGGCAAGCGUUAUCCGGAUUUACUGGGUGUAAAGGGAGCGUAGACGGCGGAGCAAGUCUGAAGUGAAAGCCCGGGGCUCAACCCCGGGACUGCUUUGGAAACUGUUCUGCUAGAGUGCUGGAGAGGUAAGUGGAAUUCCUAGUGUAGCGGUGAAAUGCGUAGAUAUUAGGAGGAACACCAGUGGCGAAGGCGGCUUACUGGACAGUAACUGACGUUGAGGCUCGAAAGCGUGGGGAGCAAACAGGAUUAGAUACCCUGGUAGUCCACGCCGUAAAC